GACGAACGCUGGCGGCGUGCCUAAUACAUGCAAGUCGAACGAACCGCGACUAAGUGCUUGCACUGAGUCAAGGUGAGUGGCGAACGGGUGAGUAACACGUGGGUAACCUACCUCAUAGUGGGGGAUAACAGUCGGAAACGACUGCUAAUACCGCAUAGGACAUGGAAUCACAUGAUUCCGUGAGGAAAGGUGGCGCAAGCUAUCGCUAAGAGAUGGACCCGCGGUGCAUUAGCUAGUUGGUAGGGUAACGGCCUACCAAGGCGAUGAUGCGUAGCCGACCUGAGAGGAUGAUCGGCCACAUUGGGACUGAGACACGGCCCAAACUCCUACGGGAGGCAGCAGUAGGGAAUCUUCCGCAAUGGACGCAAGUCUGACGGAGCAACGCCGCGUGAGUGAAGAAAGGUCUUCGGAUCGUAAAAGCUCUGUUGUUAGAGAAGAACAGCGCA
This 446-nucleotide ribosomal RNA is filed under the name Abiotrophia defectiva. RNAcentral's name for it is "bacterial SSU rRNA". It matches the Rfam family "Bacterial small subunit ribosomal RNA", at positions 28 to 456 of the family's 1533-position model. The record is from RNAcentral. Lineage: Bacteria; Bacillati; Bacillota; Bacilli; Lactobacillales; Aerococcaceae.